CUUGGUUCUCAAACUGAGGGAAAUACUUACUGCUCCUGUGUUGCAUCACACUUUCCUCUUCAAGGGAAAAAACGACGCAAACUAGAGAAGUAACAAGAAGAAUUCCUAAGCGCCAGGGAAGGACUUUUGUUGCCGUAGCAGAAGAAUUUCGGGCGCCAUUGCCGGGGAGGAUCAAGUCAAGAAAUCAUCCAAGGAGGUGUCGCAAACUCAUCUCUUGCAUUUACUUUGUUUGCCAGUUGCCUCUCGUUUUCCUCACCCCCACUUCACUAUUUGCCUUUUUCGUUUGCCUUUUUUCGUUCUCCCUUUUCUUUCGCUUGCUUUCUGUUUGCUUGUGUGCUAUGUGCCUUCAAUAUGCUUGCAUCUUCGCUUGCUGAAAAUCUAGUGAUAUGGAUCCUCAUCCACUUGCUAAUCUCUUUAAGAGAUCCAAUUAUGU
Molecule: long non-coding RNA, 433 nt
Filed under: Hordeum vulgare
Lineage: Eukaryota; Viridiplantae; Streptophyta; Magnoliopsida; Poales; Poaceae
Description: long non-coding RNA (HVUL_LNC012250)
Source: RNAcentral